AGCGAACGCUGGCGGCAGGCUUAACACAUGCAAGUCGAGCGGGCCCUUCGGGGUCAGCGGCGGACGGGUGAGUAACGCGUGGGAACGUGCCCUCUGGUCUGGAAUAACCCUGGGAAACUAGGGCUAAUACCGGAUACGCCCUUUUGGGGAAAGGCUUGCUGCCGGAGGAUCGGCCCGCGACUGAUUAGCAAGUUGGUGGGGUAACGGCCUACCAAGGCGACGAUCAGUAGCUGGUCUGAGCGGAUGAUCAGCCACACUGGGACUGAGACACGGCCCAGACUCCUACGGGAGGCAGCAGUGGGGAAUAUUGGACAAUGGGCACAAGCCUGUUCCAGCCAUGCCGCGUGAGUGAUGAAGGCCUUAGGGUUGUAAAGCUCUUUUAUCCGGGACGAUAAUGACGGUACCGGAGGAAUAAGCCCCGGCUAACUUCGUGCCAGCCGCCGCCGUAA
This 449-nucleotide ribosomal RNA is filed under the name uncultured bacterium. Its description in RNAcentral is "partial 16S ribosomal RNA". It matches the Rfam family "Bacterial small subunit ribosomal RNA", at positions 29 to 523 of the family's 1533-position model. The record is from RNAcentral.